Molecule: ribosomal RNA, 466 nt
Filed under: uncultured bacterium
Lineage: Bacteria
Description: partial 16S ribosomal RNA
Rfam family: Bacterial small subunit ribosomal RNA
Source: RNAcentral
GACGAACGCUGGCGGCGUGCUUAACACAUGCAAGUCGAACGGAAAGGCCCUGCUUUUGUGGGGUGCUCGAGUGGCGAACGGGUGAGUAACACGUGAGUAACCUGCCCUUGACUUUGGGAUAACUUCAGGAAACUGGGGCUAAUACCGGAUAGGAGCUCCUGCUGCAUGGUGGGGGUUGGAAAGUUUCGGCGGUUGGGGAUGGACUCGCGGCUUAUCAGCUUGUUGGUGGGGUAGUGGCUUACCAAGGCUUUGACGGGUAGCCGGCCUGAGAGGGUGACCGGCCACAUUGGGACUGAGAUACGGCCCAGACUCCUACGGGAGGCAGCAGUGGGGAAUAUUGCACAAUGGGCGGAGGCCUGAUGCAGCAACGCCGCGUGCGGGAUGACGGCCUUCGGGUUGUAAACCGCUUUCGCCUGUGACGAAGCGUGAGUGACGGGAAUGGGUAAAGAAGCACCGGCUAACUACG